This 22-nucleotide microRNA is filed under the name Gallus gallus (chicken). Its description in RNAcentral is "gga-miR-1551-3p". The record is from miRBase by way of RNAcentral. Lineage: Eukaryota; Metazoa; Chordata; Aves; Galliformes; Phasianidae.
UGAGUUUGUGUUGCUGCUUUCU